UUUCCAUUAAUCUGUCACUCAUUGGGUUAGUAAUGCCCGUAAAUCAUUACACAUUUCCAUUCCAGUCAUCACCACAUUGACAAUGGUGAACUUGACACACAAAUCAAAAUAAAAAUCUCCACCGACAGUUUGUAUCGUUUUUCACAUUUUGAUUGAUUCUAGAGAAUGGAAAUUGUUAAACCUUUCAUCAUUUACAAAGACUGCGUUUAGCAUCGAUAAAUUGGAAAAAGCCAUCAAAUUUCCACCCCUCACUCAACCGAGAGAUCGAUUAAUCGUUCAUCUUCUUCACGAAAAUCACAUCGUCGAUGAUUCUGAAAAAGCUGCAGUGCACCUCGACAAAUGUCGAAAGAGGGAAUUGUCGACGUUGGGUCAGGGCUCGACUUGGCGGAGGGAAUCCACAGUAACCCCUGACCCGGGAAAGAGUAUCGCUUUGACGCGCCUUAGAAAGUUUAAAAGCCGAGUAAACCAUCACCAGGUCCUCCUUUCCUCUGACAUAUCAGCGAUACCGGCGAGUCACUGGAACACCAUUCAGGCAGAAGGCAAAUCACGCUUACGUCCUUGCGCACUGUGACAUUUGGAUUUUACGGUGAAUUCUCUUUUACCGCAGAGUGGAGCCCAGCGGGCACAUUGGCAAAGCCACGAGGAAAGUUUGAUGUUACGUAAUUUUUCACCAUACCGAGGCGAUUGGUGACCUUGCCAUUUGGAGAUGCUACCGCUAGAGAGAAGGGGGAAGGAGGGAGGAUGUUGGAUGUAAAAAGGUGGAGGAAUUCAUGAAGACAAAAUUUUUCACGACGUCACUUUUCAUUUUUUACACGGAAAUGUACGUUUCAGAAAAAAAAAAAUGCCAAGGGCGGUUUGUUCCCCAUCUCACCAGACAAAUGUUGAAAAAAUGACUCUUGACGUUUGCCAUACAGAUGUCCACCCCUUCGUAAAAUGUCCUAGGACAAUUUCUCCUCGUCGGACAUCCUGAGACAACUAAUGCAAAGAACUCUUGACAUUUCUCCAGCAAAAAUUCCCUCUGAAGCGCAAUUUUGUUUGCAUUCAAGUGAGCAUUUAUUGAUGAAUCUCGGACUAAUGUAAUGUAAUUUGAUUCUUUAUUAUGAAAGAAAAAUAAUAGCCGCUGGACUACUUAAAUAUGCCCCCAACAGAUUUGCCCUUUUGGUGCAGAUAAAUA
Molecule: long non-coding RNA, 1174 nt
Organism: Diachasmimorpha longicaudata
Lineage: Eukaryota; Metazoa; Arthropoda; Insecta; Hymenoptera; Braconidae
Exons: 3
Source: RefSeq, a predicted model, not a curated record